GGGGAAUCUUCCGCAAUGGGCGAAAGCCUGACGGAGCAACGCCGCGUGAGGGAAGAAGGCCUUCGGGUUGUAAACCUCUGUCAUCAAGGAAGAACAGAUGACGGUACUUGGAGAGGAAGCCCCGGCUAACUACGUGCCAGCAGCCGCGGUAAAACGUAGGGGGCGAGCGUUGUCCGGAAUUACUGGGCGUAAAGGGCGCGUAGGUGGUCCAUUAAGUUAGAGGUGAAAGAUCGGGGCUCAACCCCGAGAUUGCCUCUGAUACUGGUGGACUUGAGUGCAGGAGAGGGGAGCGGAAUUCCCAGUGUAGCGGUGAAAUGCGUAGAUAUUGGGAGGAACACCAGUGGCGAAGGCGGCUCUCUGGACUGUAACUGACACUGAGGCGCGAAAGCGUGGGGAGCGAACAGGAUUAGAUACCCUGGUAGUCCACGCCGUAAACGAUGAGUGCUAGGUGUUGCGGGUAUCGACCCCCGCAGUGCCGUAGUUAACACAAUAAGCACUCCGCCUGGGGAGUACGGUCGCAAGACUGAAACUCAAAGGAAUUGACGGGGGCCCGCACAAGCGGUGGAGUAUGUGGUUUAAUUCGACGCAACGCGAAGAACCUUACCAGGGCUUGACAUCCUCUGAAAGCCAUAGAGAUAUGGACCUUACCCUUCGGGGUAACAGAGAGACAGGUGGUGCAUGGUUGUCGUCAGCUCGUGUCGUGAGAUGUUGGGUUAAGUCCCGCAACGAGCGCAACCCCUAACAUUAGUUGCCAGCGAGUAAGGUCGGGAACUCUAAUGUGACUGCCGUUGACAAAACGGAGGAAGGUGGGGAUGACGUCAAAUCAUCAUGCCCCUUAUGUCCUGGGCUACACACGUACUACAAUGGCCGGUACAGACGGAAGCAAAGCCGUGAGGCGGAGCAAAUCUGAGAAAGCCGGUCCCAGUUCGGAUUGUAGUCUGCAACUCGACUACAUGAAGUCGGAAUCGCUAGUAAUCGCAGGUCAGCAUACUGCGGGAAUACGUCCG
RNAcentral lists this ribosomal RNA (1007 nucleotides) under uncultured Desulfotomaculum sp. Its description in RNAcentral is "bacterial SSU rRNA". It matches the Rfam family "Bacterial small subunit ribosomal RNA", at positions 356 to 1374 of the family's 1533-position model. The record is from RNAcentral. Lineage: Bacteria; Bacillati; Bacillota; Clostridia; Eubacteriales; Desulfotomaculaceae.